Molecule: ribosomal RNA, 445 nt
Filed under: uncultured bacterium
Lineage: Bacteria
Description: bacterial SSU rRNA
Rfam family: Bacterial small subunit ribosomal RNA
Source: RNAcentral
GUAAGGAAUAUUGGUCAAUGGUGGAAACACUGAACCAGCCAUGCCGCGUGGAGGAAUAAGGUCCUACGGAUUGUAAACUCCUUUUGACGAGGAAGAAAAUGUUAGAUUUAUCUAAUUUUGACGGUACUCGUAGAAUAAGCACCGGCUAACUCCGUGCCAGCAGCCGCGGUAAUACGGAGGGUGCAAGCGUUAUCCGGAUUUACUGGGUUUAAAGGGUCCGCAGGUGGGGAGGUAAGUCAGUGGUGAAAUACCCGGGCUCAACUUGGGUGCUGCCAUUGAUACUGCUUUUCUUGAGUGUAGAUGAGGUGGGCGGAAUACAGCAUGUAGCGGUGAAAUGCGUAGAUAUGCUGUAGAACACCGAUUGCGAAGGCAGCUCACUAAACUACUACUGACACUCAGGGACGAAAGCGUGGGGAUCAAACAGGAUUAGAUACCCCGGUAGUCC